RNAcentral lists this ribosomal RNA (253 nucleotides) under uncultured bacterium. RNAcentral's name for it is "partial 16S ribosomal RNA". It matches the Rfam family "Bacterial small subunit ribosomal RNA", at positions 524 to 776 of the family's 1533-position model. The record is from RNAcentral.
UACGGGGGGGGCAAGCGUUGUUCGGAAUUACUGGGCGUAAAGGGCUCGUAGGCGGCCAACUAAGUCGGAUGUGAAAUCCCCAGGCUUAACCUGGGAAUUGCAUCCGAUACUGGAUGGCUUGAAUCCGGGAGAGGGAUGCGGAAUUCCAGGUGUAGCGGUGAAAUGCGUAGAGAUGUGGAGGAACACCAGUGGCGAAGGCGACUCUUUGGCCCGUAACUGACACUGAGGCGCGAAAGCGUGGGGAGCAAACAGG